UGGCGGCGUGCCUAACACAUGCAAGUCGAACGGAGCUGCUUUGAUGAAUUUUUCUGAUGGAUUUAAAACAGCUUACUGGCGGACGGGUGAGUAACGCGUGGGUAACCUGCCUCACACUGGGGGAUAACAGUUAAAAAUAACUGCUAAUACCGCAUAAUCGCACGGUUCCGCAUGGAACAGUGUGAAAAACUCCGGUGGUGUGACAUGGACCCGCGUCUGAUUAGCCAGUUGGCGGGGUAACGGCCCACCAAAGCGACGAUCACUAACCGGCCUGACCAGGGUGAACGGACACGUUGGGACUGACACACUGCCCAAACUCCUACGGGAGGCAACUGUGGGGAAUAUUGCACAAUGGGGGAAACCCUGAUGCACCGACGCCACGUGAGUGAAAAAGUAUUUCGGUAUGUUAAGCUCUAUCAUCAAGGAAGAAAGUGACGGUGCCUGAAUAAUAAUCCCCGGCUAACUACCUGCCAACUCCCGCGGUAAUACCUAGGGGGCAAGCGUUAUCCGGAUUUACUGGGUGUUAAGGGAGCGUAGACGGCAAGGCAAGUCUGAUGUGAAAGCCCGGUGCUUAACGCCGGGACUGCUUUGGAAACUGUUUAUCUGGAUUGCCGGAUAGGUAAGCGGAAUUCCUAGUGUAGCGGUGAAAUGCGUAGAUAUUAGGAAGAACAUCAGUGGCGAAGGUGGCUUACUGGACGGUAACUGACGUUGAGGCUCGAAAGCGUGGGGAGCAAACAGGAUUAGAUACCCUGGUAGUGCACGCCGUAAACGAUGAUCGCUAGGUGUAGGUGGGUAUGGACCCAUCGGUGCCGCAGCUAACGCAAUAAGCAAUCCACAUGGGGAGUACGUUCGCAAGAAUGAAACUCAAAGGAAUUGACGGGGACCCGCACAAGCGGUGGAGCAUGUGGUUUAAUUUGAAGCAACGCGAAGAACCUUACCAGGUCUUGACAUCCCGAUGAAAAACCCGUAACGGGGUUCCCUCUUCGGAGCAUCGGAGACAGGUGGUGCAUGGUUGUCGUCAGCUCGUGUCGUGAGAUGUUGGGUUAAGUCCCGCAACGAGCGCAACCAUUAUUAUUAGUAGCCAGCAGGGAAAGCUGGGCACUCUAAGGAGACUGCCGGGGAUAACCCGGAGGAAGGUGGGGAUGACGUCAAAUCAUCAUGCCCCCUAUGAUCUGGGCUACACACGUGCUACAAUGGCGUAACAAAGGGAAGCGAGCCUGCGAGGGUGAGCAAAUCCCAAAAAUAACGUCCCAGUUCGGACUGUAGUAUGCAACCCGACUACACGAAGCUGGAAUCGCUAGUAAUCGCGAAUCAGAAUGUCGCGGUGAAUACGUUCCCGGGUCUUGUACGCACCGCCCGUCACACCAUGGGAGUCGGAAAUGCCCGAAGUCUGUGACUCAACCGCAAGGAGAGAGCAGCCGAAGGCAGGUCUGAUAACUG
This 1440-nucleotide ribosomal RNA is filed under the name uncultured organism. Its description in RNAcentral is "SSU rRNA". It matches the Rfam family "Bacterial small subunit ribosomal RNA". The record is from RNAcentral.